AGUGAACGCUGGCGGUAGGCCUAACACAUACAAGUCGAACGGCAGCACAGUAAGAGCUUGCUCUUACGGGUGGCGAGUGGCGGACGGGUGAGGAAUACAUCGGAAUCUACUUUUUCGUGGGGGAUAACGUAGGGAAACUUACGCUAAUACCGCAUACGACCUACGGGUGAAAGCAGGGGAUCUUCGGACCUUGCGCGAUUGAAUGAGCCGAUGUCGGAUUAGCUAGUUGGCGGGGUAAAGGCCCACCAAGGCGACGAUCCGUAGCUGGUCUGAGAGGAUGAUCAGCCACACUGGAACUGAGACACGGUCCAGACUCCUACGGGAGGCAGCAGUGGGGAAUAUUGGACAAUGGGCGCAAGCCUGAUCCAGCCAUACCGCGUGGGUGAAGAGGGCCUUCGGGUUGUAAAGCCCUUUUGUUGGGAAAGAAAAGCAGCAGGUUAAUACCCCGCUGUUCUGACGGUACCCAAAGAAUAAGCACCGGCUAACUUCGUG
RNAcentral lists this ribosomal RNA (492 nucleotides) under uncultured bacterium. RNAcentral describes it as "partial 16S ribosomal RNA". It matches the Rfam family "Bacterial small subunit ribosomal RNA", at positions 29 to 507 of the family's 1533-position model. The record is from RNAcentral.